Chiloscyllium plagiosum (whitespotted bambooshark) is the source of this 281-nucleotide non-coding RNA. Lineage: Eukaryota; Metazoa; Chordata; Chondrichthyes; Orectolobiformes; Hemiscylliidae. The record is from RefSeq and is a predicted model, not a curated record.
AGGACUUUUCCCAGUAUCCUGACUGACAAUAAUCGAGCAAUCAACAUCUGUUUAUUUACUUCAUUGCAUUUUGUGGGAUCUUACUGUGCACAAUGGACUGCUACAUCUCCCACUGUACAACAGCACAAGUGAAAACACUUGAGGUAAACCAGUGAGUCCUUUGCUCCAAAUACAUAAUCCAUGGAUGAAGCAUUUUCACAACCAGUAACAUAUGAUACAUUCUCAGCACACUUUCUUCAUCUACCGAUGUUCUCAGCCCUACAAUCUCCUUUAAUAUCCAA